RNAcentral lists this ribosomal RNA (330 nucleotides) under uncultured bacterium. Its description in RNAcentral is "bacterial SSU rRNA". It matches the Rfam family "Bacterial small subunit ribosomal RNA", at positions 568 to 898 of the family's 1533-position model. The record is from RNAcentral.
UCCGUAGGCGGUGCGGUAAGUUGGGAGUGAAAUCUCUGGGCUUAACCCAGAGGCUGCUUCCAAAACUACCGUGCUCGAGUGCGAGAGAGGCAAGUGGAAUUGCGGGUGUAGCGGUGAAAUGCGUAGAUAUCCGCAGGAACAUCCGAGGCGAAAGCGGCUUGCUGGAUCGCAACUGACGCUGAGGGACGAAAGCUAGGGGAGCAAACAGGAUUAGAUACCCUGGUAGUCCUAGCCCUAAACCAUCAGGACUUGGGGUUUGCCCUGUACGGGGCAAGUCCCGUAGCUAACGCGUUAAGUCCUGCGCCUGGGGAGUACGGUCGCAAGACUGAA